Long non-coding RNA from Limulus polyphemus (Atlantic horseshoe crab), 96 nucleotides. RefSeq lists it as uncharacterized. NCBI's taxonomy places the organism in Eukaryota, Metazoa, Arthropoda, Merostomata, Xiphosura, Limulidae. The record is from RefSeq and is a predicted model, not a curated record. The transcript is spliced from 3 exons.
UAGAUUAUAAAUAUUCUUUAAUAAAUAAACUUAGUAUUCCGAGAAUUGUUUAAUCUCAAAAUCUAAGUUCAAUGGAGGUCCAGUUCAAUCUACACU